Molecule: long non-coding RNA, 582 nt
Organism: Rhopalosiphum maidis (corn leaf aphid)
Lineage: Eukaryota; Metazoa; Arthropoda; Insecta; Hemiptera; Aphididae
Exons: 3
Source: RefSeq, a predicted model, not a curated record
AGACAAACGUUGCAAGUAACGCGCGGCGACCAGCUUACGAAGUAUUUCAAUAUUCAAUAGCUCCGUGACGGUUUGAAAACAUACAUUUCAUACAGCUAGGUGAUUUAGAAUCCAAAUCUAAAUUUUAGAUAACAAAAAAAAAAACACAAAAAUAUGUCUUCGCUAUUUUGUGCUAUAUUGUAUGGUCUACGGCCGCCGACCGAAUCCAUAUUGUUACAUUGUAGCAUACUGUAUAACAGAACUCGGAGCCAGCAGGUGAAUAAUUUUUAGAAGUCACAUCUCUUAUACAAAAAGAAACUAUUAAUACAGAUACCAAUGAAUUUUGGCACUUUCUAAUAAAGCUUUUGCAUAGGCUUACAUGUGAAGAAAGACUAGUGGAAUAAUGUUGAAUCAUUUUAGGAUGUUUAUUGGAUUUUUCAAAAAAAGAGCAUAGAUAUCGAUGCUUCUUUUAAUUUAUCUUUUCAAUGUUUAAAUACUAAUGAAUUUUGGGACUUUCUAAUAAAGCUUUUGCAUAGGCUUACAUGUGAAGAAAGACUAGUGGAAUCAUGGUGAAUAAUUUUAAGAUGUUUAUUGGAUUUGUCA